AAUCAACGCUGGCGGCGUGCCUCAGACAUGCAAGUCGAACGCGAAAGUCCCCUUCGGGGGACAAGUAGAGUGGCGCACGGGUGAGUAACACGUAGGUAAUCUACCUUCGGAUGGGGAAUAACAAUCGGAAACGGUUGCUAAUACCGCAUAAUGCAGCGGCACCUAAUGGUGACAGUUGUUAAAGCGGGGGAUCGAAAGACCUCGCGUCUGAAGAGGAGCCUGCGGCGGAUUAGCAGCUGGUAAGGUAAUGGCUUACCAAGGCUACGAUCCGUAACCGGCCUGAGAGGGCGGUCGGUCACACUGACACUGACAUACGGGUCAGACUCCUACGGGAGGCAGCAGUCGGGAAUUUUGGGCAAUGGGCGAAAGCCUGACCCAGCAACGCCGCGUGAAGGAUGAAAUCCCUCGGGAUGUAAAACUUCGCAAGAACGGGAAGAAUAAGUAGGGACAACUACCCCCUAUGAUGACGGUACCGUUUGUAAGCUCCGGCUAACUCCGUGCCACGCCGCCGCCGUAAC
RNAcentral lists this ribosomal RNA (518 nucleotides) under uncultured bacterium. Its description in RNAcentral is "bacterial SSU rRNA". It matches the Rfam family "Bacterial small subunit ribosomal RNA", at positions 32 to 524 of the family's 1533-position model. The record is from RNAcentral.